UACGUAGGUGGCAAGCGUUGUCCGGAUUUAUUGGGUUUAAAGGGUGCGUAGGCGGCUUUGUAAGUCAGUGGUGAAAUACUCUAGCUUAACUAGAGGGGUGCCAUUGAUACUGCGGAGCUUGAGUACAGAUGAGGUAGGCGGAAUUGACGGUGUAGCGGUGAAAUGCAUAGAUAUCGUCAAGAACACCGAUAGCGAAGGCAGCUUACUGGGCUGUAACUGACGCUGAGGCACGAAAGUGUGGGGAUCAAACAGG
Molecule: ribosomal RNA, 253 nt
Filed under: uncultured bacterium
Lineage: Bacteria
Description: partial 16S ribosomal RNA
Rfam family: Bacterial small subunit ribosomal RNA
Source: RNAcentral